RNAcentral lists this ribosomal RNA (593 nucleotides) under Aspergillus fumigatus. Its description in RNAcentral is "partial large subunit ribosomal RNA". It matches the Rfam family "Eukaryotic large subunit ribosomal RNA", at positions 51 to 659 of the family's 3401-position model. The record is from RNAcentral. Lineage: Eukaryota; Fungi; Ascomycota; Eurotiomycetes; Eurotiales; Aspergillaceae.
CGGAGGAAAAGAAACCAACAGGGAUUGCCUCAGUAACGGCGAGUGAAGCGGCAAGAGCUCAAAUUUGAAAGCUGGCCCCUUCGGGGUCCGCGUUGUAAUUUGCAGAGGAUGCUUCGGGUGCAGCCCCCGUCUAAGUGCCCUGGAACGGGCCGUCAUAGAGGGUGAGAAUCCCGUCUGGGACGGGGUGUCUGCGUCCGUGUGAAGCUCCUUCGACGAGUCGAGUUGUUUGGGAAUGCAGCUCUAAAUGGGUGGUAAAUUUCAUCUAAAGCUAAAUACUGGCCGGAGACCGAUAGCGCACAAGUAGAGUGAUCGAAAGAUGAAAAGCACUUUGAAAAGAGAGUUAAACAGCACGUGAAAUUGUUGAAAGGGAAGCGUUUGCGACCAGACUCGCCCGCGGGGUUCAGCCGGCAUUCGUGCCGGUGUACUUCCCCGUGGGCGGGCCAGCGUCGGUUUGGGCGGCCGGUCAAAGGCCCUCGGAAUGUAUCACCUCUCGGGGUGUCUUAUAGCCGAGGGUGCAAUGCGGCCUGCCUGGACCGAGGAACGCGCUUCGGCUCGGACGCUGGCGUAAUGGUCGUAAAUGACCCGUCUUGAAC